This is a non-coding RNA of Sus scrofa (pig), 551 nucleotides long. The record is from RefSeq and is a predicted model, not a curated record. Lineage: Eukaryota; Metazoa; Chordata; Mammalia; Artiodactyla; Suidae.
GUUGGGGGAGGGAGGAGGAGGAGAUUCAGUUGUCUGCAGUUCUGAGUGUUUGAAAGCAUCUAUUAAAAUCUGCAUUUAUGCACCAAUCAACCUGAGCUAUUGGUGGAGGCCUGCAGAGGACAGAGGAUAGUCAUGGGCAGAAAAGACUUUCACAUAACCCACAAGCUUGGGAAGCAAACUCAUUGAAGGAUAAAGAAGUAUGGCUCUGGGAGAAGGUGAGGAAACAGAGGUGCAGAGAUGCCAAGGAAACCCUGAAACCCACAGCUAGAUGACUCUGGAGAAGAUACCAUCUCUUAACCCAGCCUUGCAGCGAACUCUCAGAAAUGGUAAAAGUGGUCUUUUACAUCAGUGAUUUUCACCUGAUUUCAAGCAGAAGGGUAGCCAGAGACUGAAGAAUGGGCGGACAAGAAGAGAAACUUGGAGAGCAAUGCAUAUUACUGACAGCUGUCAUCAUCGUGCAGAGAUUCAGGAAACUGAAAUCUUUGUCUGUGAAACUGAAAUCUUUUUCUGCUUUACAUAGCACUCUCCAAAAGUUUCCACAUCCUUUCCCA